Pecten maximus is the source of this 692-nucleotide long non-coding RNA. RefSeq lists it as uncharacterized. The transcript is spliced from 3 exons. The record is from RefSeq and is a predicted model, not a curated record. NCBI's taxonomy places the organism in Eukaryota, Metazoa, Mollusca, Bivalvia, Pectinida, Pectinidae.
UUCCUACCAAUACUUGCGCAUGACUUGAAGAUGUCAGCAACGGGAAGGAGCUCUUCUGAUAUCUAUCAUCGGCAUUUCUAACACUUUGUCAAAGAUUGUGAUUGGUAAAAUAUCUGACCAAUCAUGGGUCGACUGUAUCCUCGUCAAUAGUGUGACGCUUACGAUUGGUGGAGUGACCACGUGUUUUGUGCCAUAUUAUCGUCUGUUCGGUAUCCUGGCGGCGUACUCCGUCAUAUUUGGAGGAGUUUUGGGGACAUUUUCAACACUGAAUUCAAUUAUCACGGUCGAGUUGAAGGGAUUGGAGAGACUUCCAAAUGCCUUUGGUAUUCUCAACCUAUGGAUAGGGAUAGCCUUGGUACUUGGAUCUCCUAUAGCAGGGUCCCUGGCUGAUAUCACGGGGUACUACAAUGUGACAUUCUACUACUCUGGGGCUGCUAUAGGGAUCGGUGGAUUACUGUGCCUUCCACUGAGGACGGUAAUGAGAUGGGAGGACAAGGAAAUACCUAACUAAAUGCAAAACAUGCGAACGCACUUCAGAGGACAUUUCCAGGAGAUCUACCACUACAAUUGAUACUUACAUGUAGAAUUAUUCUAUUACGAUAAGAAACAAUAAAAGCGGCAGCUAUACGGUUAAGAUGGCGUGCCAAACGUUGCAUUAUUCAAUAAUUUGAUGUUCCCAAUCUGUUGGCAUU